Molecule: transfer-messenger RNA, 447 nt
Filed under: bacterium
Lineage: Bacteria
Also listed under: 2 other names
Rfam family: transfer-messenger RNA
About the family: Bacterial tmRNA, also known as 10Sa RNA or SsrA, is named for its dual tRNA and mRNA-like properties. Its role is to liberate the mRNA from a stalled ribosome. To accomplish this part of the tmRNA is used as a reading frame that ends in a translation stop signal.
Source: RNAcentral
GGGGGCGUCACGGCUUCGACGUGUCGUCACGUGUGCUGAGAGCGUGCCGAGGGUGUACGGAACCUCGUAAAAAAGACGUGCAAAUCAAAUAAGUGCAAACGAAGCACAAAUGCCUAGCAAGGGUGUUAUAGCCCAAGCUAUGGGAGCACUAGGCUUCCAAUCUGCAGGGGUUCCCUGUGGCGUGGCAUGCGCAUAACGGAGUAGCGGCUUAGGCCACUAGCGAUAUGCGUCUUGUGGGCAGACCUUUCUUCUGGUUGCGCCUACUCGUAUUACAAAGGAAGAGCGCUCACGUAGAAUUUUUAGUUUUGUAUCGUGAGUGUAUUACUGAACUGACGGGUGUGGAAACGAGCUCCUGGCGAGCCACACACGAUUAACCAGGGGAUACGCACGUAGCGCUUAGACCCCGAGGCGGGGCGGACAUGGGUUCGACUCCCAUCGCCUCCACCA